AGCAGUAGGGAAUCUUCGGCAAUGGGGGCGAACCCUGACCGAGCAACGCCGCGUGAGUGAAGAAGGUUUUCGGAUCGUAAAGCUCUGUUGUAAGAGAAGAACGUGUGUGAGAGUGGAAAGUUCACACAGUGACGGUAACUUACCAGAAAGGGACGGCUAACUACGUACCAG
This 171-nucleotide ribosomal RNA is filed under the name uncultured bacterium. Its description in RNAcentral is "partial 16S rRNA". It matches the Rfam family "Bacterial small subunit ribosomal RNA", at positions 350 to 511 of the family's 1533-position model. The record is from RNAcentral.